GAUGAACGCUGGCGGCGUGCCUAAUACAUGCAAGUCGAGCGAACAGACGAGGAGCUUGCUCCUUUGACGUUAGCGGCGGCCGGGUGAGUAACACGUGGGUAACCUACCUAUAAGACUGGGAUAACUUCGGGAAACCGGAGCUAACACCGGAUAAUAUUUCGAACCGCAUGGUUCGAUAGUGAAAGAUGGCUUUGCUAUCACUUAUAGAUGGACCUGCGCCGUAUUAGCUAGUUGGUAAGGUAACGGCUUACCAAGGCAACGAUACGUAGCCGACCUGAGAGGGUGAUCGGCCACACUGGAACUGAGACACGGUCCAGACUCCUACGGGAGGCAGCAGUAGGGAAUCUUCCGCAAUGGGCGAAAGCCUGACGGAGCAACGCCGCGUGAGUGAUGAAGGUCUUCGGAUCGUAAAACUCUGUUAUUAGGGAAGAACAAACGUGUAAGUAACUGUGCACGUCUUGACGGUACCUAAUCAGAAAGCCACGGCUAACUACGUG
RNAcentral lists this ribosomal RNA (497 nucleotides) under uncultured bacterium. Its description in RNAcentral is "partial 16S ribosomal RNA". It matches the Rfam family "Bacterial small subunit ribosomal RNA", at positions 28 to 507 of the family's 1533-position model. The record is from RNAcentral.